RNAcentral lists this long non-coding RNA (1030 nucleotides) under Homo sapiens (human). RNAcentral describes it as "HSALNT0304242". Lineage: Eukaryota; Metazoa; Chordata; Mammalia; Primates; Hominidae. The record is from RNAcentral.
GAGAUCAGAAGAAAGCCAUCUAUUUGGAUUGCAUCACUCUAACCUGAUCUGGAAACUUUUCCUGAAUACAUAUUUAAAGAACUACAGAAGACAAAAAUGAAAUUGCAUUGAAUGACAAUUAGAGACAAGUUUGUUCUUUCGAAAAAAUUGGAUAUUUGCUUUGUAAUUUUCACCAAUUUUAUUUUCCUGAAUUAUUUCUAUUUUUAAUGUAGAAACAAAAGUAUCUGAGAUGGGUCUAAGAUAUCAGAGAAUUAUCUGUAUUUGUAUUGAGAUAUAUCAAAAUAUAAUGUUAAUAUGAUUUGUCACUGAACUAUAUGAUAACUCAGUCGUACUUCUGUCUUUUAAAAUUGGCUACAGUUAAACUUCAAUCUGUCAAUAAAGUAAAAGCUACCUACGUGGGAAUCCUAAAAUUAUAACAUGUGAUAAAAUCUCAGGGGGAAGUUUUGGAUUCUGUUGUUUUUAUUUUCUGCCAUUUGUGCCGAUUUGAGCGGUAACUGACCUCAUGAAACAUGGAAGUAUUAUUUAUGUACAAGGAACUGACCCCUGAGGAAUUGAAGGUCAGCACUAAAAUAAAAAUGUAGGGGGAAAUGCAACUAAUAAAAUGUAGGAAAAAAAACGUGAACAGAAAAUAUAAUAAACCUACAUGGUGGUGCUUACAUAGAUAAAACUGAAAGAGGAUUGUAAAUAGAACUGUAAGAAUGGAUUUGUCUACCAUUUAUUAUAUUUUGUUAAAAAUAAAGAAAUUCAAUUUACAAUAUUGAAUUUUACUAGACUUUCUGGUUUGAAAAGCUAGAGUUUCUUUUUCCUUUCAGAAGGCUUGUAUUCAGGUAAUACUGAUGAAGAGAAUCCUCAAGACCUUUACACUCUGGGUCAGUUCCAAGAUGGCUAAGAAGCUGUUUAAAACAACCAAAAAACAACUUGAUAGGAUUGACAAUUUCAUGUUUUUUAAUAAGUGUUGAAUGAGACUGCUAACUACAAUCAGCAGAUAUACAUAUGUGGUGUCAUAGAUGUUAGGUUUUCAAAAAUAAAG